Molecule: unclassified non-coding RNA, 63 nt
Filed under: Rhodotorula toruloides
Lineage: Eukaryota; Fungi; Basidiomycota; Microbotryomycetes; Sporidiobolales; Sporidiobolaceae
Source: RNAcentral
GGGCGAAGUAGAGAGCGUGCGACUCACUAAGCAGCGCGUCCUUCUCCGCCGCCGACGAGCGCA